RNAcentral lists this ribosomal RNA (779 nucleotides) under Clostridioides difficile. RNAcentral describes it as "partial 23S ribosomal RNA". It matches the Rfam family "Bacterial large subunit ribosomal RNA", at positions 1 to 783 of the family's 2925-position model. The record is from RNAcentral. Lineage: Bacteria; Bacillati; Bacillota; Clostridia; Peptostreptococcales; Peptostreptococcaceae.
UGGUCAAGUUAUUAAGGGUGCAGGGCGGAUGCCUUGGCACUAGGAGCCGAUGAAGGACGUGAUAAGCUGCGAUAAGCUUCGGGGAGUUGCACGUAAACUUUGAUCCGAAGAUUUCCGAAUGAGGAAACUCACUUAGAGUAAUGUCUAAGUAUCAUUAAGUGAAUACAUAGCUUAAUGAGGGGAACUCAGGGAACUGAAACAUCUAAGUACCUGAAGGAAGAGAAAGAAAUUCGAUUCCGUAAGUAGCGGCGAGCGAACGCGGAUUAGCCCAAACCAAUAAAGUUUUCUUUAUUGGGGUUGCGGACAUAUCAUAACGAAGAGGUAUCGUAAUUGAAGAGGUUUGGAAAGACCCACCACAGAAGGUAAUAGUCCUGUAUGUUAAACGAGAAGACUUCAGAUAUGAUCCAGAGUACCACGGGACACGUGAAACCCUGUGGGAAGCAGGAGGGACCACCCUCCAAGGCUAAAUACUACCUAGUGACCGAUAGCGUAUAGUACCGUGAGGGAAAGGUGAAAAGAACCCCGGGAGGGGAGUGAAAUAGAACCUGAAACCCUGCACUUACAAGCUGUGGAAGCACAUUUCUUGUGUGACCGCGUACUUUUUGUAGAACGGGCCAACGAGUUACGUUAAGUAGCAAGGUUAAGCACUUAAGGUGCGGAGCCGUAGCGAAAGCGAGUUUUAACUGAGCGUUCAGUUACUUGACGUAGACCCGAAACCGGGCGACCUACCCAUGAGCAGGAUGAAGCGAAAGUAAAAUUUCGUGGAGGUCCGAACCCAC